Molecule: long non-coding RNA, 1255 nt
Organism: Cyprinus carpio (common carp)
Lineage: Eukaryota; Metazoa; Chordata; Actinopteri; Cypriniformes; Cyprinidae
Source: Ensembl
AUGUACAGCCCAAGGAGGGCUCAAGUCCCCAUGUCCAGCCCAAGGAGGGCUCCAGUUCCCACAUCCAGCCCCAGAAGGGCUCCAGUCCCGAAGACAAGCCCAGAGAGGUCCAUAGUUCCCGAGUUAGUUCUACGGAGGGCCUCUGAAACCAACAUUCUGCCAAAGGUUUUUUUUUUUUUUUUGGGUGUAAUAGUGGUCCGCCCAUGGAGACCAGAGCUCCCCAAGCUCCCUGUUCCAACAUGGCCUCCUGAACUGUCUACUCCGCCAUGACCUCCUGAACUGUCUGCUCUGCCAUGGCUCCCCAAGCUCCUUGUUUCGCCAUGGCCUCCUGAACUGUCUGCUCUGCCAUGGCUUCCUGAACUGUCUGCUCCGCCAUGGCCUCCUAGCCUGCCUGCUCUGCCAUGGUUUCCUAGUCUGCCUGAUCCGCCAUGGCACCCCAAACUCCCUGAUCCGCUGUGGGUCCCAGAAUGGGUACCACCCUGGAGGCCAUCCAUUUCUGUAGGCCUGUCCUGAGAGGUCCCCACCUUGUUGUUAGGCACGUGGACGCGCCUUCCGGGAGGGGGGGAGUAAUGUCAGGCCUGUGUUCCUGUCUUGUCUUGUGUUUUGUUCCCCAUGUCCUAGUUUCUCCCUCCAUGCUCAUAAUUUAGUCCUUCCUGUUUCCUGUUCCCAUUUUGUUCAUUUUAUGUCAGCUGUGUUUCCCCAAUUCCCUCAUCUCUUCUCUUAAUACUUUAACCCUGUGUUUCCAAGUUUCUUCAUCUGGUAUUGAAUGUCGUCUUUCUUGCUAAGUGUGAUUUCCUGGUUCCUCGAAUAUUAUUAAAGGAGUCAUAUGAUACUGCUAAAAAGAACAGUAUUUUGUGUAUUUGGUGUAAUGAAAUGUGUUUAUGUGGUUUAAGUAAAAAAAAACACAUUAUUUUCCACAUACUGUACAUUACUGUUUCUCCUCUAUGCCCCGCCUUCUGAAACGCAUUGAUUUUCACAAGGCUCAUCUCUCUGAAAAGCGCGAUGUGCUGUGAUUGGCCAGCUAUCCAGCGCGUUGUGAUUGGCCGAAUGCCUCAAGCGUGAGACGGAAAUGUUACGCCUCUUAACAUAUUGUGAAGCCUUGUCUGGCCGGCGCGACGAGACAUAAACAUAAAACCCAUUAUAAAUGUGAUAUAAACAUGAUUUCUAGUCUUGUUUUCUUUUGGAAGGUAAAAACAAAGUAGUUUCGCUUUCUCAACGAAACAACAUCACACACCGCGGCCUUGAGUGAGCAGAG